UGGAGGUAGAGCACUGUUUGGACUAGGGGCCCUUCUCGGGUUACCGAAUUCAGAUAAACUCCGAAUGCCAUGUACUUAUACUCGGGAGUCAGACUGCGAGUGCUAAGAUCCGUAGUCGAAAGGGAAACAGCCCAGACCACCAGCUAAGGUCCCAAAAUAUAUGUUAAGUGGAAAAGGAUGUGGGGUUGCACAGACAACUAGGAUGUUAGCUUAGAAGCAGCUAUUCAUUCAAAGAGUGCGUAAUAGCUCACUAGUCGAGUGACCCUGCGCCGAAAAUGUACCGGGGCUAAAACAAUUUACCGAAGCUGUGGAUACCUUUAUAGGUAUGGUAGGAGAGCGUUCUAUGUGUGAUGAAGGUAUACCGUGAGGAGUGCUGGAACGCAUAGAAGUGAGAAUGCCGGUAUGAGUAGCGAAAGAAGGGUGAGAAUCCCUUCCACCGAAUAUCUAAGGUUUCCUGAGGAAGGCUCGUCCGCUCAGGGUUAGUCGGGACCUAAGCCGAGGCCGAUAGGCGUAGGCGAUGGACAACAGGUAGAGAUUCCUGUACCAGUGCUAAUUGUUUAACCGAUGGGGUGACACAGAAGGAUAGGGAAUCGCACGAAUGGAAAUGUGCGUCCAAGCAGUGAGUGUGAGAAGUAGGCAAAUCCGCUUCUCGCGAAGCAUGAGCUGUGAUGGGGAAGGAAAUUAAGUACGGAAGUUCCUGAUUUCACGCUGUCAAGAAAAGCCUCUAGGAAGAGUAGUACUGCCCGUACCGCAAACCGACA
Molecule: ribosomal RNA, 761 nt
Filed under: Escherichia coli
Lineage: Bacteria; Pseudomonadati; Pseudomonadota; Gammaproteobacteria; Enterobacterales; Enterobacteriaceae
Description: partial 23S ribosomal RNA
Rfam family: Bacterial large subunit ribosomal RNA
Source: RNAcentral